CAUGAGGGAUUCCACAGUGAUUCCCCAGAGGAACCACAGAGUUGGGAUGAGGACAGUGCAAGUGUGAGAGUGCUGGGUGUGAGGGUGCUGGGUGUGAGGGCACCAGGUGUGAGGGUGCUGGGUGUGAGGGCACCAGGUGUGAGGGUGCUGGUUGCGAGGGCACCAGGUGUGAGGGUGCUGGGUGCGAGGGCACCAGGUGAGAGGGUGCUGGGUGUGAGGGCACCACGUGUGAGGGUGCUGGGUGCGAGGGCACCAGGUGUGAGGGUGCUGGUUGCGAGGGCACCAGGUGUGAGGGUGCUGGGUGCGAGGGCACCAGGUGAGAGGGUGCUGGGUGUGAGGGCACCACGUGUGAGGGUGCUGGGUGUGAGGGCACCAGGUGUGAGGGUGCUGGCUGUGAGGGCACCAGGUGAGAGGGUGCUGGGUGCGAGGGCACCAGGUGAGAGGGUGCUGGGUGCGAGGGCACCGGGUGUGAGGGUGCUGGGUGCGAGGGCACCGGGUGAGAGGGUGCUGGGUGCGAGGGCACCAGGUGUGAGGGUGCUGGGUGCAUGCAAGGAUCUUGCCCAGGAGGGAAGAGAGCUUUUGAUUGACAGGAGGGAAACAUCCUCUCAGAAGUCAAGGGAUGGCCAGAGUGUAGUUAAUGUGUUGCCAAAGGAUCCUUGUGUCCUCAUGAGCUCAGAGAGUGAGGCAUGAGAACUUGAGGUAGGCCGCAGUAGUGUUGGCCGUGGUGGCCAUGCAAACAUAAUGAACAGAGUGACAAGCAGAGUGGAGGAUCUUUAGGACC
RNAcentral lists this long non-coding RNA (781 nucleotides) under Pan troglodytes (chimpanzee). Its description in RNAcentral is "long non-coding RNA NONPTRT008258". The record is from RNAcentral. Lineage: Eukaryota; Metazoa; Chordata; Mammalia; Primates; Hominidae.